Molecule: ribosomal RNA, 506 nt
Filed under: uncultured bacterium
Lineage: Bacteria
Description: partial 16S ribosomal RNA
Rfam family: Bacterial small subunit ribosomal RNA
Source: RNAcentral
AUUGAACGCUGGCGGCAGGCCUAACACAUGCAAGUCGAACGGUAACAGGAAACAGCUUGCUGUUUCGCUGACGAGUGGCGGACGGGUGAGUAAUGUCUGGGAAACUGCCUGAUGGAGGGGGAUAACUACUGGAAACGGUAACUAAUACCGCAUAACGUCGCAAGACCAAAGAGGGGGACCUUCGGGCCUCUUGCCAUCGGAUGUGACCAGAUGGGAUUAGCUAGUAGGUGGGGUAACGGCUCACCUAGGCGACGAUCCCUAGCUGGUCUGAGAGGAUGACCAGCCACACUGGAACUGAGACACGGUCCAGACUCCUACGGGAGGCAGCAGUGGGGAAUAUUGCACAAUGGGCGCAAGCCUGAUGCAGCCAUGCCGCGUGUAUGAAGAAGGCCUUCGGGUUGUAAAGUACUUUCAGCGGGGAGGAAGGGAGUAAAGUUAAUACCUUUGCUCAUUGGCGUUACCCGCAGAAGAAGCACCGGCUAACUCCGUGCCAGCCGCCGCAGUAA